UGGGGAAUUUUGGACAAUGGGCGAAAGCCUGAUCCAGCAAUGCCGCGUGUGUGAAGAAGGCCUUCGGGUUGUAAAGCACUUUUGUCCGGAAAGAAAUCCUUGGCUCUAAUACAGUCGGGGGAUGACGGUACCGGAAGAAUAAGCACCGGCUAACUACGUGCCAGCAGCCGCGGUAAUACGUAGGGUGCAAGCGUUAAUCGGAAUUACUGGGCGUAAAGCGUGCGCAGGCGGUUUGCUAAGACCGAUGUGAAAUCCCCGGGCUCAACCUGGGAACCGCAUUGGUGACUGGCAGGCUAGAGUAUGGCAGAGGGGGGUAGAAUUCCACGUNUAGCAGUGAAAUGCGUAGAGAUGUGGAGGAAUACCGAUGGCGAAGGCAGCCCCCUGGGCCAAUACUGACGCUCAUGCACGAAAGCGUGGGGAGCAAACAGGAUUAGAUACCCUGGUAGUCCACGCCCUAAACGAUGUCAACUAGUUGUGGGGAUUCAUUUCCUUAGUAACGUAGCUAACGCGUGAAGUUGACCGCCUGGGGAGUACGGUCGCAAGAUUAAAACUCAAAGGAAUUGACGGGGUCAUGCUGUUUCCUG
RNAcentral lists this ribosomal RNA (584 nucleotides) under uncultured bacterium. RNAcentral describes it as "partial 16S ribosomal RNA". It matches the Rfam family "Bacterial small subunit ribosomal RNA", at positions 355 to 933 of the family's 1533-position model. The record is from RNAcentral.